This 179-nucleotide unclassified non-coding RNA is filed under the name fungal sp. Its description in RNAcentral is "partial internal transcribed spacer region". Lineage: Eukaryota; Fungi. The record is from RNAcentral.
CUUGGUCAUUUAGUGGAAGUCGCCGAAAGUACGGAAUACCUGCUGAUGGCUGGGACCAUUGGUGCCGCGUUGCUCGGACUCAGCCUCGCCUAUUUGUUUUAUGCCGCGAAACCGGAACUGCCGGUGCAACUGGCUGCCAAGGCGCAGGCCGCUUACUCACUCCUGGUUAACAAGUACUA